This 480-nucleotide ribosomal RNA is filed under the name Streptomyces sp. RNAcentral describes it as "bacterial SSU rRNA". It matches the Rfam family "Bacterial small subunit ribosomal RNA", at positions 96 to 589 of the family's 1533-position model. Lineage: Bacteria; Bacillati; Actinomycetota; Actinomycetes; Kitasatosporales; Streptomycetaceae. The record is from RNAcentral.
UGGCGAACGGGUGAGUAACACGUGGGCAAUCUGCCCUGCACUCUGGGACAAGCCCUGGAAACGGGGUCUAAUACCGGAUACUGAUCCUCGCAGGCAUCUGCGAGGUUCGAAAGCUCCGGCGGUGCAGGAUGAGCCCGCGGCCUAUCAGCUAGUUGGUGAGGUAACGGCUCACCAAGGCGACGACGGGUAGCCGGCCUGAGAGGGCGACCGGCCACACUGGGACUGAGACACGGCCCAGACUCCUACGGGAGGCAGCAGUGGGGAAUAUUGCACAAUGGGCGAAAGCCUGAUGCAGCGACGCCGCGUGAGGGAUGACGGCCUUCGGGUUGUAAACCUCUUUCAGCAGGGAAGAAGCGAAAGUGACGGUACCUGCAGAAGAAGCGCCGGCUAACUACGUGCCAGCAGCCGCGGUAAUACGUAGGGCGCAAGCGUUGUCCGGAAUUAUUGGGCGUAAAGAGCUCGUAGGCGGCUUGUCACGUC